Molecule: transfer RNA, 75 nt
Filed under: Acetobacterium bakii
Lineage: Bacteria; Bacillati; Bacillota; Clostridia; Eubacteriales; Eubacteriaceae
Also listed under: 1 other name
Description: tRNA-Gly
Rfam family: tRNA
About the family: Transfer RNA (tRNA) molecules are approximately 80 nucleotides in length.
Source: RNAcentral
GCGGAAGUAGCUCAGUGGUAGAGCAUCGCCUUGCCAAGGCGAGGGUCGCGAGUUCAAAUCUCGUCUUCCGCUCCA